Molecule: ribosomal RNA, 354 nt
Filed under: Triticum aestivum (bread wheat)
Lineage: Eukaryota; Viridiplantae; Streptophyta; Magnoliopsida; Poales; Poaceae
Description: partial small subunit ribosomal RNA
Source: RNAcentral
AUGAGUAUCUUAUGCUGGAACUGUCGAGGCUUGGGGUCGGACUCGACAGUGGGCGAGCUUCGCUGGCUUGUGAAGCUUUACCGACCCUCCCUCCUCUUUUUGUCGGAGACGAAGAUGAGGAAUAAUCGGGUGAGGAACUUUAUGUGGUCUAUGGGUUUUUCUGGUUGCUAUGUUGUCGGUUGUGAAGGGCUGAGUGGGGGCCCGGCUUUGUUCUGGACCUCCACGACGGAUGUAACAAUGAAGGCUGCUAACAAGCGCUGCAUUGAUACUCAUGUGAACAUCAACGACGGGGUAGUUUGGUGUGCCUCCUUCGUUUAUGGGGAGCCCAGGAGAGAAGAUAGAUCUCAGUUCUGA